UCUUCCCAUUCCGAACAGAGAAGUUAAGCUUCGCCACGCCGAUGGUACUGCGUACAAGUGGGAGAGUAGGUAGUCGCCGUUU
This 82-nucleotide ribosomal RNA is filed under the name Candidatus Phocaeicola merdigallinarum. Lineage: Bacteria; Pseudomonadati; Bacteroidota; Bacteroidia; Bacteroidales; Bacteroidaceae. The record is from RNAcentral.